CCUACGGGUCGCAGCAGUGGGGAAUAUUGCACAAUGGGCGCAAGCCUGAUGCAGCCAUGCCGCGUGUAUGAGGAAGGCCUUCGGGUUGUAGAGUACUUUCAGCGGGGAGGAAGGUGUUGUGGUUAAUAACCGCAGCAAUUGUCGUUACCCGCAGAAGAAGCACCGGCUAACUCCGUGCCAGCAGCCGCGGUAAUACGGAGGGUGCAAGCGUUAAUCGGAAUUACUGGGCGUAAAGCGCACGCAGGCGGUCUGUCUAGUCGGAUGUGAAAUCCCCGGGCUCAACCUGGGAACUGCAUUCGAAACUGGCAGGCUAGAGUCUUGUAGACGGGGGUAGAAUUCCAGGUGUAGCGGUGAAAUGCGUAGAGAUCUGGAGGAAUACCGGUGGCGAAGGCGGCCCCCUGGACAAAGACUGACGCUCAGGUGCGAAAGCGUGGGGAGCAAACAGGAUUAGAUACCCGUGUAGUC
Molecule: ribosomal RNA, 465 nt
Filed under: uncultured bacterium
Lineage: Bacteria
Description: bacterial SSU rRNA
Rfam family: Bacterial small subunit ribosomal RNA
Source: RNAcentral